RNAcentral lists this long non-coding RNA (750 nucleotides) under Daphnia pulex (common water flea). Its description in RNAcentral is "uncharacterized LOC124197575, transcript variant X2". Lineage: Eukaryota; Metazoa; Arthropoda; Branchiopoda; Diplostraca; Daphniidae. The record is from RNAcentral.
AAACAUGAAUCGAACAAUAACAUCUUGUUUUUUGGCUAUUCUAUUUCAUGUUUUAAAUAAUACUCAAUUGGCUCAUGGAGAAUUUACAGUAGAAGAUUUCAACAGUGCGUACUCAGAAUUUCAGGUGACUGGAGACGGUUUUCAUCGGGAAAUGCGAAUGUCCUUCUCGUUUUUUCCUGCCUCUCUUCUAGGCUGUAGUGUACUUAUAAAAUGGGGGAUUCCUUCUGGAAUCUAUGUAGACCCAUAUCAACUUCAAGCUUCGGUAAUGAACAAGACAGUUUGCUUCUCCAGCCAUGUCAAUAUUGAGCAAAUGGCACAUCAUGCAGAACCUUUAACAUUACACAGCUUUGCCCAGCCUUCAAUGUGGGAGCAGUUGCAGCUUCUCCCAAUCAAUCCAGUUUCAUCUGCGUUAUCAUCUCCCUAGCAGCAUAAAUGAUUAUGCAGCAGCAUCUCUAUCCUCACCUUCUACCUUUUUCUCUUGUGACUGUGCUUCGAUAGAUUUGACAGCUGUGCAUAAAUGUGUGUGGCAGUCAUUACCUGAACAUGUUCAAAUUCAACAAGUUUUAGUCCCAACCCAAUUGGUUCUUUGUCUUAUUCACCACUAGUGACAAUUGUUACAAUAGCAAUUUCAUUCAUUGGAAUUACUUCUGUUGCUUGGGCUUCAGCAGUAGAGUAAACAUGAAUGUUGCAAUUGAAUUUGUUUUAUAAAUAAUGUACAGUACUCGGAUCAAUACAAAAAGAUUUUGUGUA